This 261-nucleotide unclassified non-coding RNA is filed under the name Hevea brasiliensis (rubber tree). Lineage: Eukaryota; Viridiplantae; Streptophyta; Magnoliopsida; Malpighiales; Euphorbiaceae. The record is from RNAcentral.
AAAAAAAAACUAAAUUAUAAAUAAUAUAAGCAAUACCUCAAAUAUUUCAAUAUGAGCCUCAUUUUGUAUUUGAUUACAAUUCACGGGAACAAAAUUUGCAAUCCUAAUCUCUAAAAAUCAAGAACAAUAAUGAGAUGUUGAGUAUGAGAAAAAAGAAAGAAAGAAAGAAUUAAUUAAUAAACAAAACAAGCAAUUACCAAAAGAGAAACUAAAAGAAACCCAAGAAUGAAAACCAUUCAGCAUGCAAACAACACUUUCCUG